UGAGGAAUAUUGGUUAAUGGAGGCAACUCUGAACCAGCCAAGUCGCGUGAAGGAUGAAGGUCUUAUGGAUUGUAAACUUCUUUUGCAAGGGAAUAAAGUGGGGGACGUGUCCUCCUUUGCAUGUACCUUGCGAAUAAGGAUCGGCUAACUCCGUGCCAGCAGCCGCGGUAAUACGGAGGAUCCGAGCGUUAUCCGGAUUUAUUGGGUUUAAAGGGUGCGCAGGCGGGAUGUUAAGUCGGCGGUGAAAUUUUGCAGCUCAACUGUAAAAGUGCCUUCGAUACUGGCUUUCUUGAGUGUGGAUGAAGUAGGCGGAAUUUGUGGUGUAGCGGUGAAAUGCUUAGAUAUCACGAGGAACUCCGAUUGCGCAGGCAGCUUACUAAACCACUACUGACGCUCAUGCACGAAGGCGUGGGGAUCAAACAGGAUUAGAUACCCUGGUAGUCCACGCAGUAAACGAUGAUUACUAGUUGUUUGCGAUACAAUGUAAGCGACUGAGCGAAAGCGUUAAGUAAUCCACCUGGGGAGUACGUUCGCAAGAAUGAAACUCAAAUGAAUUGACGG
This 561-nucleotide ribosomal RNA is filed under the name uncultured bacterium. RNAcentral describes it as "bacterial SSU rRNA". It matches the Rfam family "Bacterial small subunit ribosomal RNA", at positions 355 to 916 of the family's 1533-position model. The record is from RNAcentral.